GACGAACGCUGGCGGCGUGCCUAAUACAUGCAAGUUGAGCGAUGAAGAUUGGUGCUUGCACCAAUUUGAAGAGCAGCGAACGGGUGAGUAACGCGUGGGGAAUCUGCCUUUGAGCGGGGGACAACAUUUGGAAACGAAUGCUAAACCGCAAUAACACUUUAAAACUUAGGUUUAAGGUUGAAAAGUUCAAUUUGCUUAAUCAAAGGAUGAUCCCGCGUUGUAUUAGCUAGUUGGUGAGGUAAAGGCCCACCAAGGCGAUGAUACAUAGCCGACCUGAGAGGGUGAUCGGCCACAUUGGGACUGAGACACGGCCCAAACUCCUACGGGAGGCAGCAGUAGGGAAUCUUCGGCAAUGGACGAAAGUCUGACCGAGCAACGCCGCGUGAGUGAAGAAGGUUUUCGGAUCGUAAAACUCUGUUGGUAGAGAAGAACGUUGGUGAGAGUGGAAAGCUCAUCAAGUGACGGUAACUACCCAGAAAGGGACGGCUAACUACGUG
This 497-nucleotide ribosomal RNA is filed under the name uncultured bacterium. Its description in RNAcentral is "partial 16S ribosomal RNA". It matches the Rfam family "Bacterial small subunit ribosomal RNA", at positions 28 to 507 of the family's 1533-position model. The record is from RNAcentral.